UACGUAGGGGGCGAGCGUUGUCCGGAAUCACUGGGCGUAAAGGGCGCGUAGGCGGUAUAUUAAGUCAGGUGUGAAAGUUUUCGGCUCAACCGGAAAAGUGCACUUGAAACUAAUAAACUUGAGUACUGGAGAGGUAAGCGGAAUUCCUAGUGUAGCGGUGAAAUGCGUAGAUAUUAGGAGGAACACCGGUGGCGAAGGCGGCUUACUGGACAGAGACUGACGCUGAGGCGCGAAAGCGUGGGGAGCAAACAGGAUUAGAUACCCGCGUAGUCCCUGAGCGGG
Molecule: ribosomal RNA, 282 nt
Filed under: uncultured prokaryote
Description: partial 16S ribosomal RNA
Rfam family: Bacterial small subunit ribosomal RNA
Source: RNAcentral